Xenopus tropicalis (tropical clawed frog) is the source of this 62-nucleotide microRNA precursor. Ensembl annotates it as xtr-mir-1b. Its record names the gene xtr-mir-1b. The record is from Ensembl. NCBI's taxonomy places the organism in Eukaryota, Metazoa, Chordata, Amphibia, Anura, Pipidae.
GCACAUACUUCUUUAUAUGCCCAUACUGAAUGAAAAUGCUAUGGAAUGUUAAGAAGUAUGUA